AGACCUAUUGGAUGAGAUCCUCUGGGAAUGAGAAAGGGGGAAGGGCAUCUGUAUGUUUAACAAGUGUCCCAGCAGAUGCCCUCUCCGGGACUCUUGAUCAUGCUUAGAUCCAGGAGCCCCAGUCUGCUCCUCUGCAUGGUUCUGUGGCUCAGCCAGCCGGGGACUGCCCCUUUGCUUCAGGCUCCCCACCACUAAGGUGAGGUCAUCACGGGGGCUUCAGAGGCCCCUCAGCUGCAGCAUUCCCUGGCUCUCCUCCCCUGGUAGCUGGGAGUUGUGCCCAUCUGUUCCUGUGGAAGGCGGCUGCAGGGGGAGUCACCCUGGAGGGGCACAACUGAGAGGCGGUAAGAGAAUUGAGUUAAAUUGCACCCCCACCCUUUGGCUGCAGACUAUGUAGGCGAGAGAAACAAAGGGGAAGUGGAGGCGGCGUCUCUCAGCCCUUUCCCUGAAGGCUCCCACUGAGUUUGCUCCUUCUGAAGUCGGUCCUGGCUGCCCUCCCGAUGCUCAGCGCUCACCCACACCGGCCUUCCUCUUCAACAACGCCUGCCAGAAGACUCAUUACUCUGCUUCUAAUAUGUGACUGGCCAGGGGCCAGGAUCUGGCUACCAACUGACUGAUUAACCGCUUAGCCAGAGCGACGGCUUCCCCGUCCACAAGCAGCAGCUAGCAGCUCCUCUCUGCCCCGUGGGUUGCAAAGGAGCCUCCUGGCCCGUCUUGAUCUGGGCAUGGCUAGGGGCUGCUCUGGCUGUGGGCUUCAAAGUCUUCUUGGCUCCAUUCUCUGAGUGUCACCACUUUCCUACUUGUUCUUUCCCUUCCUCUUCUUUCUCUAUUCAUCUUCAAUUCCUUCUAUUGUUAUUUCUCCCCAUCCCACCCGUCAAUCCAUUGUUCACAUCUAUACAUAGACACACUUCAUAUCACACAGCUCUAAAAUAUCCUCUUUAACCCCGUGUUCUCUUCUAGCUAUUGCUCUAGUUUUCUCUCUCUCAUCAAUAAAACUUCUUGGAACAAUUGUCUUCACAUAUUAUUUUCCAUUCCUAUCUUCCAUUUGUUUUUUUACGUACUACAACUUGCCUUCUAUCCACACUGCUCCACCCAAACUGCCCUUAGAAAGGACCCCAUGCCCGCCAUGUUGUUAAUCCAAUACUCAUUUCAGUCUUUAUGUACUUGACUUCUCAGCAGAAUUUGAUAGAGACACCUUCUCGGUCCUGAAACGGUCUCAUCGCUUGUCUCCUGUGGCAUCCCAGACUUUCUUUUCUCCCUAGCUCCUUCUUGGCUGCUUUUGUCAGCUUCCCCUCUUCUAUUUGACCCAUAAAUGUGGCAAUUUAUCUGCACUCAGCUCUGACCCUCUUUUCGUUUCUCCCUGCCUUCUCUUCCUAAAAUUUAGAGCCCAAAUGAUAUCAUUAUAGAGAAAUGAAGUUGCUUUUUCAAGAAAAUCUCUGUAGGGACUGAGAUUCAUCCCUAAAGAAAAAGCAAACAUAAAUCUUAAUUUCAAACUGUGAUAACUGCUUUGAAGGAAAAAUUUAAAUAGAGAGUCUAAUGGAGAGCCUAAUUCACACUGAUUUUUACUGGGGGAGGGGAAGGGUAGGCCUCUCUUAGGAAGUGACAUUUAAGCUGAGACCUGAAGGAUGACGAGGAGUUGGGCAGGUGCAGGGUCGAGAGGAGAAGCAAAAGUAAACAAAACAGAACAAAACAAAAAGCAGCAAAGCCUAAGGCUGAUGACAUCCACAUGUCCCCUCCAACCCAGAUCUCUGUGCUCUGGACUGUUUAUCCCUUCUGGACGUUUCCAUUUGGCUGUCUCUCAGGUAUCUCAAACUUAUUAUAUCCACAGCAGAAGUUUGGAUUUCUCUACAUGUACUUGUUUUCUCCCCACACUUGCCCCCUUCAGUAAAUGGCUUCAUUUUCCACUCAGUGCUCAAACAGAAACCCAAGAGUUCUUAUUGACUCCUUCCUUUCCCUCACUCCCUAAUCCACUCCAAUGGAAAAAUCUGUUAACGCGACCACUAAAAUACAUCGAGAAUCCAUCCACUCAUUCUACUGCCACAAAUCUAGUUUGAGCCGCCAUCUUCUCUCGCCUGGAAGACAAUAGCCUCUCAACUGCUCUCCU
Long non-coding RNA from Equus caballus (horse), 2101 nucleotides. The record is from Ensembl. NCBI's taxonomy places the organism in Eukaryota, Metazoa, Chordata, Mammalia, Perissodactyla, Equidae.